This 1362-nucleotide ribosomal RNA is filed under the name Salmonella enterica subsp. enterica serovar Oranienburg. RNAcentral describes it as "partial 23S ribosomal RNA". It matches the Rfam family "Bacterial large subunit ribosomal RNA", at positions 1589 to 2925 of the family's 2925-position model. Lineage: Bacteria; Pseudomonadati; Pseudomonadota; Gammaproteobacteria; Enterobacterales; Enterobacteriaceae. The record is from RNAcentral.
AGCAACAAAUGCCCUGCUUCCAGGAAAAGCCUCUAAGCAUCAGGUAACAUCAAAUCGUACCCCAAACCGACACAGGUGGUCAGGUAGAGAAUACCAAGGCGCUUGAGAGAACUCGGGUGAAGGAACUAGGCAAAAUGGUGCCGUAACUUCGGGAGAAGGCACGCUGACACGUAGGUGAAGUGAUUUACUCACGGAGCUGAAGUCAGUCGAAGAUACCAGCUGGCUGCAACUGUUUAUUAAAAACACAGCACUGUGCAAACACGAAAGUGGACGUAUACGGUGUGACGCCUGCCCGGUGCCGGAAGGUUAAUUGAUGGGGUCAGCGCAAGCGAAGCUCCUGAUCGAAGCCCCGGUAAACGGCGGCCGUAACUAUAACGGUCCUAAGGUAGCGAAAUUCCUUGUCGGGUAAGUUCCGACCUGCACGAAUGGCGUAAUGAUGGCCAGGCUGUCUCCACCCGAGACUCAGUGAAAUUGAACUCGCUGUGAAGAUGCAGUGUACCCGCGGCAAGACGGAAAGACCCCGUGAACCUUUACUAUAGCUUGACACUGAACAUUGAGCCUUGAUGUGUAGGAUAGGUGGGAGGCUUUGAAGCGUGGACGCCAGUCUGCGUGGAGCCGACCUUGAAAUACCACCCUUUAAUGUUUGAUGUUCUAACGUGGACCCGUAAUCCGGGUUGCGGACAGUGUCUGGUGGGUAGUUUGACUGGGGCGGUCUCCUCCUAAAGAGUAACGGAGGAGCACGAAGGUUGGCUAAUCCUGGUCGGACAUCAGGAGGUUAGUGCAAUGGCAUAAGCCAGCUUGACUGCGAGCGUGACGGCGCGAGCAGGUGCGAAAGCAGGUCAUAGUGAUCCGGUGGUUCUGAAUGGAAGGGCCAUCGCUCAACGGAUAAAAGGUACUCCGGGGAUAACAGGCUGAUACCGCCCAAGAGUUCAUAUCGACGGCGGUGUUUGGCACCUCGAUGUCGGCUCAUCACAUCCUGGGGCUGAAGUAGGUCCCAAGGGUAUGGCUGUUCGCCAUUUAAAGUGGUACGCGAGCUGGGUUUAGAACGUCGUGAGACAGUUCGGUCCCUAUCUGCCGUGGGCGCUGGAGAACUGAGGGGGGCUGCUCCUAGUACGAGAGGACCGGAGUGGACGCAUCACUGGUGUUCGGGUUGUCAUGCCAAUGGCACUGCCCGGUAGCUAAAUGCGGAAGAGAUAAGUGCUGAAAGCAUCUAAGCACGAAACUUGCCCCGAGAUGAGUUCUCCCUGAGACUUAGAGUCUCCUGAAGGAACGUUGAAGACGACGACGUUGAUAGGCCGGGUGUGUAAGCGCAGCGAUGCGUUGAGCUAACCGGUACUAAUGAACCGUGAGGCUUAACCUUAC